RNAcentral lists this long non-coding RNA (730 nucleotides) under Arabidopsis thaliana (thale cress). Its description in RNAcentral is "long non-coding RNA (ATHA_LNC000008)". The record is from RNAcentral. Lineage: Eukaryota; Viridiplantae; Streptophyta; Magnoliopsida; Brassicales; Brassicaceae.
CCUACACCCAAUCUUAGGCACAUCAACUCACCGAUUGGGUUGAUACAAAAUUGGAGUAAGAAGCCAGGUUACUAUCCUCCAACCAUUUCUUGACAUCAUCUCCAUAGUAUGAGAACCUAAAGCAGAGACCCUAAAAAACAAAAACAGAGCAAAUAAAAUCUUCUCAUUAUACUCUGUAAAUGAGCAACAAUAGAUUUAGAACACCACAUUACAUAUGAAGCUAAAGUGUUUAAUUUGAGAGUACGCAAAGAACUGGUUUUGGCUAAACCCUAAUUGAGAAACCCACAUACAGAAACAGAAUCAAAAUGUGAAGCAAUAGAUAUUGAAAAUAUUCCAGAAAAAAUAAUGUUGAAACUCUAAAAGUAAUGAACUUUAAGACCGACAUUGCGUGUAUAAGAGUCUCAAAAAUGGAAAAGUAGCAGAGCCAAACUUACUCUUUGGAGAAGAUAAAUCUGGAAGGGAAGCUCAAAAGAAGUGAAGCCAUUGGGCGUGGUAGCAGUAUUAGCGGUGGGAAAAGGGUUAAACCCUAAGACUAAAAAAGAGAGAGAGAGGGAGAGAGAAUUAAGAGUUAAGAGUGUAUUUAAGUAAAAGUAAUGAUCUUUGGUGAGCGGCGUGCUUACAGUUCUGCACAGAGCACAUUUAUCAAUGAAUGUGAGAGACAGAGUGAGACUUUUUUUUGUUUUUGGUUUCGUCGACGUUUCGUGAUUCGAUAAUUCGAAGGUCCCCUUUC